CCUACGGGAGGCAGCAGUCGAGAAUCAUUCACAAUGGGGGAAACCCUGAUGGUGCGACGCCGCGUGGGGGAAUGAAGGUCUUCGGGUUGUAAACCCCUGUCAUGUGGGAGCAAAUUAAAAAGAUAGUACCACAAGAGGAAGAGACGGCUAACUCUGUGCCAGCAGCCUCGGUAAUACAGAGGUCUCAAGCGUUGUUCGGAAUCACUGGGCGUAAAGGGUGCGUAGGCGGGUUCGUAAGUCGUGUGUGAAAGGUGCGGGCUCAACCCGCGGACGGCACAUGAUACUGCGAGACUAGAGUAAAGGUGGGGGAAGCGGAAUUCUAGGUGUAGCAGUGAAAUGCUUAGAUAUCGAGAGGAACACUCGUGGCGAAGGCGGGUUCCUGGACAUUAACUGACGCUGAGGCUCGAAGGCGAGGGGAGCGAAAGGGAUUAGAUACCCGGGUAGUC
This 446-nucleotide ribosomal RNA is filed under the name uncultured bacterium. RNAcentral describes it as "partial 16S ribosomal RNA". It matches the Rfam family "Bacterial small subunit ribosomal RNA", at positions 338 to 795 of the family's 1533-position model. The record is from RNAcentral.